GGUUUAAGUCCUCUUUUUGCCA
This 22-nucleotide transfer RNA is filed under the name Canis lupus (wolf). RNAcentral describes it as "partial tRNA-Tyr". Lineage: Eukaryota; Metazoa; Chordata; Mammalia; Carnivora; Canidae. The record is from RNAcentral.